CUGGGAUAAAAGUUCUGGGAAUUCUCUGCAGGAGCAGCUUGGAGGUUCCAAAGCUGGAACAAUCCCCAGGUUCUCUUUGUGUGUUUCACCCUCUGUGUCAGAACAUUCCUGGUCUCACAGCAUGUAAGGAGCUGUAAUUCCACGAUUUCUGGCCCUGUCCUGAGGGAUUCACUCCCUGCCUGGCUCCUCCAGCUUUUCCAGCUGCUUUAAAUCCGUGCACCCACGCUUUUCCAAACCCAUGCUUUCCCAUUAGGACACACGGCAACGGGAGGUGCAGGAAACCUUUUUUUUUUUAAGAAACAACAAAUUUAGAGAAAGCCAAGGAGACACAAAAUGAUUCUCAAGAUCUAAUUAUUCCAGGGAAUGAAAGCAAGGCAGGCUGCUUGAACCUGCCUGCUCUGGGUUAUAUUAAUAUGAAGCAUUUAGUCAUUAGGGAGAUGGAAUUAGUUCACCCAGACUGAUCUCUAAGCUGAACUGGAAAGUUGGACACAAUAAUCAUUUCAUAAACUUCCUCAGAAUAAUAAUUCUCCUGGACAAUUAUGCUGAAGGACAUCUCCUUGUGGGGCUCUGAUACCCACGUGGGAAGAAAGAUGGAAAAUGGAGCUGCUGGUUUGGAGAGAAAAGAGUGGGGAUGUUUUGUCUCCCCUGCUGAGGCUCAGACCUCAGAGAGCUGGGAAGGUUUCCUGGAUUUUCAACGCUUCUGCUUUAUUUAUUUUUUAUUUUUAAUUGAAGGUUUGGUUGGGGAAUAUUUAAGGGAAGCAUCUUUCUUCUCUCAGUUUUUAAUUUCCAGGCAGGAAUUGUGAUUCUAGCAGCUCCUCUUCAGUUUCUAAUCCCAGGUGUAGUUGGGUUCAACCGCCAGAAUUUGUCUGCAGGAUGGGAAAAAAUGGGAUAAUAAUUGAAGAAAAUUCUUGGGAAUUGUUGCAAUGAAAUAAUGAGAUCCAGGGGACUGUGAUUAACAAGUAAUUAUCAGAAGGUCUUUGCAGGUGGUCAGGACCUGCCCUUCCAGCUUCUCCUGGCUUCCAGGGACAUUUUAUAAAUCCUUUAUUUUUGGGGUGAAGUGUUGUAAAACUGCUCCCCAUCGGUGCUGCUUGUUCCCAUCCAUCUCCUACAGCAUUCAGGAAUCUCCAGAGCCAUUUAGGAUAAAGCCCAACCUUUCUGCCGGAGGGAUGAAGCUCUGGACUCCUGGUCUCCUUCUCCAGGUUGUUCUCCAGAGCUGAGCAAGGACCAGCCUCACCCAGCUUUGCCUCUCAUGCCCACAGCUGCAGGCAGAGGGGAUGAGAUGAAAUUCAAACAAGGUGAGGUUUGUGAGGGCAGCUGAAUAAAAAAAAUCAGUGCUCCAUGUGUGGUUAUGUCCUGCUGGUUCUUUGAUAAUAAAAGGAUAAAGCAGAGCUUUUGCAUGGAGAAGGAAAAGGAAUGGAAUAGAAAUGUGGGUUUGAACAGUAAAGAUGGCUUAAAAA
Cyanistes caeruleus (blue tit) is the source of this 1457-nucleotide long non-coding RNA. RefSeq lists it as uncharacterized. NCBI's taxonomy places the organism in Eukaryota, Metazoa, Chordata, Aves, Passeriformes, Paridae. The record is from RefSeq and is a predicted model, not a curated record.